Molecule: unclassified non-coding RNA, 489 nt
Filed under: Hevea brasiliensis (rubber tree)
Lineage: Eukaryota; Viridiplantae; Streptophyta; Magnoliopsida; Malpighiales; Euphorbiaceae
Source: RNAcentral
GCCCACUGUGCGCUAAUCUGCUCACCCCUUCUUUCUCCUGCAGUCUCCACGCACUUCCGGAGAAAGAAAGUGAGAAGAAGAGGCAGCUGCAGCAGCUUCACCUCCUGCCGCCCGCUUCAACUACAAGUAAUUCCAUCUGAUUUUGCGUCUUCUUUAGCUCAUUGGUAGGCUACAUACCCAAAAUCCCAAAACAUGGACUCUUCCAUACCUCAAAAACUCGAUGAGUGCUCACCAUCCUCAACCACCAUAAAAUUCGACCACCCAAUCCCUCUACUCCGGGGUCCUGUACCCGCCAGCUCAUCCGACGAUCCGUCAUCCCGCCCUUAUGUUCUCGCUUUCAGAAAUCUCCAAGCUUGGGCUGCCGCCUCCAAGAUAUUUGAGUUUAAAAUUAUCGAGCAGUGCGAUGGUGGGGCCAGUAUUGGGUGCGCCAUAGCAGCGUCCAACAAGUGUAAUCCCCCGUGGUGGCACAAUUUCAUAGGAGGGAAAUAU